GACGAACGCUGGCGGCGUGCUUAACACAUGCAAGUCGAACGGAAAGGCCCUGCUUUUGUGGGGUGCUCGAGUGGCGAACGGGUGAGUAACACGUGAGUAACCUGCCCUUGACUUUGGGAUAACUUCAGGAAACUGGGGCUAAUACCGGAUAGGAGCUCCUGCUGCAUGGUGGGGGUUGGAAAGUUUCGGCGGUUGGGGAUGGACUCGCGGCUUAUCAGCUUGUUGGUGGGGUAGUGGCUUACCAAGGCUUUGACGGGUAGCCGGCCUGAGAGGGUGACCGGCCACAUUGGGACUGAGAUACGGCCCAGACUCCUACGGGAGGCAGCGGUGGGGAAUAUUGCACAAUGGGCGGAAGCCUGAUGCAGCAACGCCGCGUGCGGGAUGACGGCCUUCGGGUUGUAACCCGCUUUCGCCUGUGACGAAGCGUGAGUGACGGUAAUGGGUAAAGAAGCACCGGCUAACUACGUG
This 468-nucleotide ribosomal RNA is filed under the name uncultured bacterium. RNAcentral's name for it is "partial 16S ribosomal RNA". It matches the Rfam family "Bacterial small subunit ribosomal RNA", at positions 28 to 507 of the family's 1533-position model. The record is from RNAcentral.